GGGCCCCCGCCCUGGUUCAGAUACCAUUUUGUCAUACCUCGCUCACCGCCCCUCAGGCUUAAAAGCCUUUUCGUUGUCACCACUUACCUAGAUCGAUAUGGCUAGUUUUCUAGCGAGAUUUCUAGCUUGAAUUAAGGCUUCGAAGCCCCUCUCCUCUCUCUGUAACUAGAGAGGUAGGCAAACCUGAGUUUAGAGCCACCUCGAUUCGGGAUGUCGGAACAUCAACCGGAUCGGAAACCGAAUCCUAAAGUGACUUCGGAACAGGUUCGAGAGCUUCGAUCGAAAACCUUUCCUAAUCUCCUCUCUCUGUAACUAGAGAGGUAGGAAAACCUGAGUUUAGAGCCACCUCAAUUCUGGUUGUCGGAACAUCAACCGGAUCGGAAAUUGAAUCCUAAAGUGACUUUGGAACAGGUUCGAGAGCUUCGAUCAAAAACCUUUCCUAUCUAGUGUCAGCUGAUCCUUCAGCGUCUGCACCAACUAAAUCGGAAGCUUAAUUCGAAAGAAGAGAGUAGGCUCGAGGAUAGAAGUAGCUCGAACGAAUGUGAGAGGAGGAUCAAAAGACUGAUUCUCGGUCCCCUAAAGUUAGAAAGCUGGUUAGACUGCAAUCUAUGCCUAUGGAAAGAAAAGUCACGAAAAGCGAUCCAUAUGAUCAUAAAGAAAGGCUUGCCUAUACGUCUUUCUAGCGUACGCGCGGUUCCUUUCGAUUGGAGCCUGUCGCUACCUGGAUCAAUCAGCCUAUUCUAGCUUGCCUAUACGUCUUUCUAGCGUAUGCGCGGUUCCUUUCGAUUGGAGCCUGUCCCUACCUGGAUCAAUCAGCCUAUUCUAGUUCGCCUUGUGUCAUCCGAUUUUAAGGAAUUCAUUGGAUCGUGAAGUUGCUUCACACCUGGCCAUAUCGAGGGAAUGAAAA
This 907-nucleotide long non-coding RNA is filed under the name Nicotiana benthamiana. RNAcentral describes it as "long non-coding RNA (NBEN_LNC037066)". The record is from RNAcentral. Lineage: Eukaryota; Viridiplantae; Streptophyta; Magnoliopsida; Solanales; Solanaceae.